UACGAAGGGGGCUAGCGUUGCUCGGAAUUACUGGGCGUAAAGCGCACGUAAGCGGUCUUUUAAGUCGGUGGUGAAAUCCUGGAGCUCAACUCCAGAACUGCCUUCGAUACUGGCGAUCUCGAGUCCGGAAGAGGUGAGUGGAACUCCUAGUGUAGAGGUGGAAUUCGUAGAUAUUAGGAAGAACACCAGUGGCGAAGGCGACUCACUGGUCCGGUACUGACGCUGAGGUGCGAAAGCGUGGGGAGCAAACAGG
RNAcentral lists this ribosomal RNA (253 nucleotides) under uncultured bacterium. RNAcentral's name for it is "partial 16S ribosomal RNA". It matches the Rfam family "Bacterial small subunit ribosomal RNA", at positions 524 to 776 of the family's 1533-position model. The record is from RNAcentral.